RNAcentral lists this ribosomal RNA (424 nucleotides) under uncultured bacterium. RNAcentral describes it as "bacterial SSU rRNA". It matches the Rfam family "Bacterial small subunit ribosomal RNA", at positions 355 to 776 of the family's 1533-position model. The record is from RNAcentral.
UGAGGAAUAUUGGUCAAUGGGCUUACGCCUGAACCAGCCAAGUCGCGUGAGGGAAGACUGCCCUAUGGGUUGUAAACCUCUUUUGUCAGGGAGCAACAACGGUUACGUGUAACCGUUAUGAGAGUACCUGAAGAAAAAGCAUCGGCUAACUCCGUGCCAGCAGCCGCGGUAAUACGGAGGAUGCGAGCGUUAUCCGGAUUUAUUGGGUUUAAAGGGUGCGUAGGCGGGAUGCCAAGUCAGCGGUCAAAUCGCGAGGCUCAACCUCGCUCCGCCGUUGAAACUGGUGUUCUUGAGUGGGCGAGAAGUAUGCGGAAUGCGUGGUGUAGCGGUGAAAUGCAUAGAUAUCACGCAGAACUCCGAUUGCGAAGGCAGCAUACCGGCGCCCAACUGACGCUGAAGCACGAAAGCGUGGGUAUCGAACAGG